Molecule: long non-coding RNA, 1047 nt
Organism: Rosa rugosa (rugosa rose)
Lineage: Eukaryota; Viridiplantae; Streptophyta; Magnoliopsida; Rosales; Rosaceae
Exons: 3
Source: RefSeq, a predicted model, not a curated record
GAGGCCAAUCUCUUCGUCUCUCUUGUCCUCCCUCUCUCUCCAAUACUUCUGUCUAAGCUCUUCCUUUAUCGGCAAACCAGUUUGGGGAAAUCUUUUGGGGGUAUCGUUCAGAUCUAGAUCCCUCACCUGCAAAAGAGUCAAUUGGGUCGCAUAUCGUAAACGACGUCGGCGAGUCCGAUUCUGGGGAGUUCUAGCUGGCUGGAGAUCGGAGCUAAGAUGGGUUUCAGUUUAGGAUUCUUGGUCGGCAUCUUUGGAGUUCUAAUUCUCUCUCAUGCCACUUAAUCCACUGUUCAGUGGUUUGUGAUUAUACUGUUUCUAUGCCGCCGAAACCCAUCCCAUCUUGAACUGAAAAUUCCAGAAACUGAAAAUUUCCUGAGCUCUGGGAACCUAGAUAUGGACACUUCCUGGGUUUUCAAAUUCAUUUCAUCAUCAUCUGAUUAUUGUCUUUGAAUUUUCUUUCUGGGUUUUUUGGUGGUUUGUUUUUGUUGCUGCUAAUUUGGGUUUUGGUGAAUUUGUGAAAAGCAAGCGGUGUGUGUAGAAAAUGGAAACAGGGGGUGAAGCAAAGUCUGGGACGAAUAGAGAGAUUGAACUUUGCUGGUUGGAAGAUGGAUGAUGACUCCACCGCUCGUCUGCUUUGCUAUGCUUACAGCCUCAGAGACUUGGAUAUAAUUUUUGGGUGUGACAACUCUAGCUGGAGAACAAGAGGAUGAUGGACAGUAAUCUAUAAGAGAAAUAUAGGACAAGCUUUCUGAGGGCAAGAGAAGAAACUGGUUCGUGGUUAAGAAAAGUGCUAAGUAAGGGCAGAUGGUAUAUGAAAUUAUUGUGAUCAAACACAAGAAGGUAAUUCAAAUAAGCCCCUUUCAGCCGGUGUAGUACAUGCUUAUCUUGCAUAGUGGAUGAGAGAAAUGAAGAUAAAGUGGUGUAGGAAAUAGAUGUAAAGUAGCGUUGUAAAAGUUUCUUUUUUGCUUCUAUGGAUUUUUCUUUGCUCUUGUAAGCCUAUUUUAUAUGAUGUACAAUAAUUAUAUAAAUGAAGUUUAUUUACCAACA